UGCAAGUCGAACGCUUCUUUUUCCACCGGAGCUUGCUCCACCGGAAAAAGAGGAGUGGCGAACGGGUGAGUAACACGUGGGUAACCUGCCCAUCAGAAGGGGAUAACACUUGGAAACAGGUGCUAAUACCGUAUAACAAUCRAAACCGCAUGGUUUUGAUUUGAAAGGCGCUUUCGGGUGUCGCUGAUGGAUGGACCCGCGGUGCAUUAGCUAGUUGGUGAGGUAACGGCUCACCAAGGCCACGAUGCAUAGCCGACCUGAGAGGGUGAUCGGCCACAUUGGGACUGAGACACGGCCCAAACUCCUACGGGAGGCAGCAGUAGGGAAUCUUCGGCAAUGGACGAAAGUCUGACCGAGCAACGCCGCGUGAGUGAAGAAGGUUUUCGGAUCGUAAAACUCUGUUGUUAGAGAAGAACAAGGAUGAGAGUAACUGUUCAUCCCUUGACGGUAUCUAACCAGAAAGCCACGGCUAACUACGUGCCAGCAGCCGCGGUAAUACGUAGGUGGCAAGCGUUGUCCGGAUUUAUUGGGCGUAAAGCGAGCGCAGGCGGUUUCUUAAGUCUGAUGUGAAAGCCCCCGGCUCAACCGGGGAGGGUCAUUGGAAACUGGGAGACUUGAGUGCAGAAGAGGAGAGUGGAAUUCCAUGUGUAGCGGUGAAAUGCGUAGAUAUAUGGAGGAACACCAGUGGCGAAGGCGGCUCUCUGGUCUGUAACUGACGCUGAGGCUCGAAAGCGUGGGGAGCAAACAGGAUUAGAUACCCUGGUAGUCCACGCCGUAAACGAUGAGUGCUAAGUGUUGGAGGGUUUCCGCCCUUCAGUGCUGCAGCUAACGCAUUAAGCACUCCGCCUGGGGAGUACGACCGCAAGGUUGAAACUCAAAGGAAUUGACGGGGGCCCGCACAAGCGGUGGAGCAUGUGGUUUAAUUCGAAGCAACGCGAAGAACCUUACCAGGUCUUGACAUCCUUUGACCACUCUAGAGAAUAGAGCUUCCCCUUCGGGGGCAAAGUGACAGGUGGUGCAUGGUUGUCGUCAGCUCGUGUCGUGAGAUGUUGGGUUAAGUCCCGCAACGAGCGCAACCCUUAAUUGUUAGUUGCCAUCAUUCAGUUGGGCACUCUAGCAAGACUGCCGGUGACAAACC
RNAcentral lists this ribosomal RNA (1138 nucleotides) under Enterococcus sp. 757B5_12ESB. RNAcentral's name for it is "bacterial SSU rRNA". It matches the Rfam family "Bacterial small subunit ribosomal RNA", at positions 56 to 1164 of the family's 1533-position model. Lineage: Bacteria; Bacillati; Bacillota; Bacilli; Lactobacillales; Enterococcaceae. The record is from RNAcentral.